RNAcentral lists this ribosomal RNA (253 nucleotides) under uncultured bacterium. Its description in RNAcentral is "partial 16S ribosomal RNA". It matches the Rfam family "Bacterial small subunit ribosomal RNA", at positions 524 to 776 of the family's 1533-position model. The record is from RNAcentral.
UACGUAGGGUGCAAGCGUUGUCCGGAAUUAUUGGGCGUAAAGAGCUCGUAGGCGGUUUGUCGCGUCUGCUGUGAAAACCCGAGGCUCAACCUCGGGCCUGCAGUCGAUACGGGCAAACUAGAGUACUGCAGGGGAGACUGGAAUUCCUGGUGUAGCGGUGAAAUGCGCAGAUAUCAGGAGGAACACCGGUGGCGAAGGCGGGUCUCUGGGCAGUAACUGACGCUGAGGAGCGAAAGCGUGGGGAGCGAACAGG